Molecule: long non-coding RNA, 1239 nt
Organism: Haliotis rubra (blacklip abalone)
Lineage: Eukaryota; Metazoa; Mollusca; Gastropoda; Lepetellida; Haliotidae
Exons: 3
Source: RefSeq, a predicted model, not a curated record
AUAUUACGGAAUUCUCUAGCCUUGCCGAGGGAAUUACAUCAUUAAUAUAACGAGGGAAAGAUAAUUUGACAUUCCCUGUCACUCGCUAAUUAUUGUCUAAUUAUCUUACGACUUGUAUACCGAUCUAGUCCCUUCGCGUUCACAUACACGGACAAACAAUGGGAUAUUGUUCCAUACCCUGUGUCUGAAAUACAUAAUGAAACAUUGUCUUAAAAAUUGUUGUAAACAGGUGACCUAUAUUCAAGACACGUAUAAAAAUAAAACUGAAUUUGUAACAUGCAGGAUAUAAGCACUGUCUGCUGCUUUUCAUAAUACAAGAUACUCAGCAGAGAUUGAUGUGAUUGUUCCGUGUAAUAUUUAAGUGCUAAUUCUUUGGAAAAAACAUGGAAACUGACAACGAGAUACAAACUUCUGUUCUUUGUCUCUCACUGUGUGUGUGUGUGUAUGUGUGCGUGUGCGUGUGCGCUCGUGCUUUGUGUUUUUGGUUAUUUAUUUCUUUAGAAAUAGAACGUGACAUGGGGCAAGCAGAGCAAAUUCAGCCCUAAUAUCUUGGAGAAAGAUCGUACAUUAGCCAAUUUAAUUAUCCCAAUUUACGGGUUUUCUAUGUUUUAAAUUGCACCAUGGUGUCCGAGGACGUACAUCUAAGUAGUUACAGGAUAAACAAGAAGCCCUGGAUGGCGAUCCUACAACUUCAACUUUCAACAUAUGUGACACUUACCUAAUGUUUAAAAACAAUAUCCAUACCGAAUUCUAUCUAUCAUGUUUAAAUGUUAAAAAGUACCGAGUAAGCUUAAGCACGAUUCCGAUGCUUAUCUCAUGAACUUUUAAUUGAGAAAGGUAGAUAUGUAAAUACGAAUAGAGAAAAUAGAACUUGUCAGUUAUGUAAUUCAAAUGCAAUUGGAGAUGAGUAUCAUUUUCUUCUUGUAUGCCCUAACUACAGUAAUCUUCGAAGAAAAUAUAUAAGAGAAACACAUUAUGUCCAUCCCAACAGGCUUAAGUUUUCACUACUGAUAAACAGUUCAAAUACUACAGAAAUCGAAAACCUGUCUAUGUAUAUUUUCAACGCAUUUGUACAUAGAAAGCGUAUUGUUCCUUGAACCCGUAUAAAGCAAUGUAUAUAGUGUAGUAUAGGCCUCACCUCAUGUCCAAGGAGGAAAAUCCCAGUACGUAAGCAUUCAUGUUAACAACAUGUGAGUGAGUGAUUUUUUAGAUUAACGCCGCUUUUAGCAAUAUUCCAGC